AACUACAAUAAUUACCUUGCAGGACGAAGGCUGCAUCUAAUGGCUGUUAAUCAGACAGACGCUAGAGGCUGUUCCUAGAUGUUAACGGACUUCAGGUCACCUAAAUUACAAUGUCCAGUGUCAGUGGAAUCACCAUAGCAAAGCAUUGAGCUAAUGCUUUUCUAUGGGGAUGGCCUAAUGCGCUCGCUGCGGCGGAUAGGCUCAGAUUGUCAGCUGACGCUCUCAGUCAG
This is a non-coding RNA of Pelobates cultripes (western spadefoot toad), 230 nucleotides long. NCBI's taxonomy places the organism in Eukaryota, Metazoa, Chordata, Amphibia, Anura, Pelobatidae. The record is from the annotation of a GenBank genome assembly.